This 578-nucleotide ribosomal RNA is filed under the name uncultured bacterium. Its description in RNAcentral is "bacterial SSU rRNA". It matches the Rfam family "Bacterial small subunit ribosomal RNA", at positions 96 to 692 of the family's 1533-position model. The record is from RNAcentral.
UGGCGGACGGGUGAGUAACGCGGGGGUAACCUGCCUCAUACAGGGGGAUAACAGUUGGAAACGACUGCUAAUACCGCAUAAGCGCACGGUAUCGCGUGGUACAGUGUGAAAAACUCCGGUGGUAUGAGAUGGACCCGCGUCUGAUUAGCCAGUUGGUGGGGUAACGGCCUACCAAAGCGACGAUCAGUAGCCGACCUGAGAGGGUGACCGGCCACAUUGGGACUGAGACACGGCCCAAACUCCUACGGGAGGCAGCAGUGGGGAAUAUUGCACAAUGGGGGAAACCCUGAUGCAGCGACGCCGCGUGAACGAAGAAGUAUUUCGGUAUGUAAAGUUCUAUCAGCAGGGAAGAUAAUGACGGUACCUGACUAAGAAGCACCGGCUAAAUACGUGCCAGCAGCCGCGGUAAUACGUAUGGUGCAAGCGUUAUCCGGAUUUACUGGGUGUAAAGGGAGCGCAGGCGGUGCGGCAAGUCUGAUGUGAAAGCCCGGGGCUCAACCCCGGUACUGCAUUGGAAACUGUCGUACUAUAGUGUCGGAGGGGUAAGUGGAAUUCCUAGUGUAGCGGUGAAAUGCGUA